AAACAAGAAGAAUGUCACAGUGAGAGCAACCACAUCCGGUGUUCUGCCAUCAAUAUUUCCGAGCAAACGGUCCACUUGAGUGGAUAAAUAUAUCAUGAAGAUUCCUAGUGUAUACUGAGUAGGGACAAGCCAGGACUUGCGACGACCGAAGUUCUUAAAGUAGACGGCAUCAACCAAGGGAGCCCAGAGCAACUUAAGACUGAAUGGCCAGAAGACAAAACUGAAAAAGGCCUGAUCUGUAUAGCUAACAUUUUUGCUCUGCAAAAUGAGGGGGAUGCUCCCCGCCAGGCCUAAGGGAAUGCCCUGAAGCACGUAAAGAAAGAGUAGUAACAAAAUGCUACUUAGUUCGGAUCUAUAGCUCCGCGGGGCUUUUGGGAAGUCACCAGGGCCGGCAUCCCCUAGAAGAACUUCCCGGUCCCCUUCCCCGCCCACCGAGUCUCGGCGACUGUCAUCCCAGCCGCCCGGUGGCAGCGGGCCACUCUUCAUAUCCAGAGCGUGGCUGAACAUGCCUGACCGCCGCUGCCGACUGCUGUCCUUGUGGGAGAUGGUCGGUGACAUAUCAAGAGACGACGCAGAGCCCGGUGUGGUGGGGGCCUGAGGCUGGCGUUUUGAUCAGUCUAGUCCCAGGUCCAAGGCAGUCAGUCUCUCUGGACCAGGGUCACGGUGGUUUAACGCCGGGAAGGCGGACGCGGCGAGACAGGUCGCUGUUUUGCAGCAGGGAGCCAGAUCCCUGGCAGGUGGCCCAGGCGAAGCCUGGGUCGCUGCCCGCAGGAGCAACUUCAGGGAGCCGGCAAGAGCUCCCCGUGCAGCCGCACCCGGCUCGAGGCUGGCGGAGCGUGCCGUGGCGCUGCGACGGAGUCUGGCUCUUAACUGCAGCGGGGACUCGAACGCCCUCCCGCCCGUCCCACCUGCCACUAGGUCUCCGCUGACACUGCAGCGGGCACCCUCCUCGGUAGACACCAGAGGUAAAGGAUAACUUCCUGCCUCGCGCUUCGGGAAGUGGUUCCCUGCCAAAAAGGGUUCCGUGCCUCCCGACGAAGCCAGCGAAUCAGAACAAGUUCCGGUGGCGGCGAGCGCGAGCAACGUUCGCUAGGAACCAUUAAUUCCCUCGAUUCUGACCCCGAGGGAGGAAUAACGCCAGCGUACCGAGCGUCCAGGAGGGAACGUCUUCACAAACCGGGUUCCGUGUGCGCCUGCGCCUGCCUGGAACUCGUGUGCCUCGGCCAUUGGGCCCUGGUCGCCACGUGAGCGCGGGUUUUCUGGAUUGGCCUGGGCCUUGGUAAUAAUAUUGCGCAAGAGCCUACUGAGUUCAAUUAGUGGUUACCUGCAUUUAUGUGUCUUUGGAGGCUAAUCACUGGAGCAUGGGCAACCUACCAGCAGCCACACACUCAAAGAAAAAUGACUCUUCUCCCAGCAGCCAACAAUUAUCAACAGUUCCUGAGUUAGGGAUGAAGCCUUCUGAGCCCCUCUCCCAUCAGUGUUGUAAUGUUGACUGGAUUGAUCUUGUUCAGGUAAUGAUAGAUCCUGUGAGUUCAUGAGUGCCAUGUAAUGCCUAGAAGAGUACUACACAGCACUUCUCCCCAUCCUCCAGAUGCCACAUUAUACCGUGAGGCUUGUUGGGGUGGCAGGAAAUGGUUAACAGGCAGGGCUGAGUACAUACCCAUCACUUGUUUUCAGCAGUUUGGUCAGUUGAGUCUUUGUGUGUACUUCUCUCCCCUGUAGACAGAAGGUUCUUUGACAAAGGUUGAAAGCAGCACUAAUGUAUGGGUAUAAUCAUAAAUAUUUAGAGAGCAGUUUGAUGUUUCACAAAACAAUAGUGGUCAGUUUCCCCUCCCACGACCUCUGAUCUCCUGGGAUGGGCUUUUUUCAGUAAGUAGUUUUAUUAGCCUAUUUAUUUAUUCAAUUUUAAAUUUAAAAACAUGUAUUUUGACUAGACACUAUUUAUUUAUUUUUAAAAAGGGUUUCAUAUAGCCCAGGAUAGCCUCGAUCUCACUACAGGCUGGUUUUUUUUUAAUCAGUAUUUUAAAUAAUUUCUUCCAAAUAUUACUCCUUAACUAUAGUACUGUUUUUUUUUUUCUUUAGUGGUGAUGUUGUGGGGGAUCUUUCUGGAAUAAGCACUCCAACACUAUUGAGAAUGAAGUAAAGAUGCCACCAAGGCAAGAGAUUCACAGUUACAGAGCAGCCUGGGCUACACUGUGAGUUUUGAGAUGACCCAGUUCAGAGUCUCUUUUAUAAAGGCAUUAAUUCCUUUCACGACAGCUCCAUUUCAUGACCUAGUCACUUCUCAAAGGCUCCACAUUCAGAGAUUAGGGGUUAAGACUAAGGAGAAUAAUAUGGGAAGACAUAAUAAUUCUACUUAUGUUAUAUCAGUUCAUCUCCUUCUACAAAACAUACUCAUUACAUCCCAGUACCCCCAAUCUCAUUACAUCCCAGUACCCCAGUGCCUUAGCUUUUACCUGUAUCAACUCUAAAUCCAAGGCCUCAUCUACAUAUCGUCUAAGUCAGAUAUGGGUAAUGUGGUUAAUAGCAAUCGUCAACUUGACCGAAUCUAGAAUCAUUAAAGAGGCAAGGCUGUAAAG
Molecule: long non-coding RNA, 2579 nt
Filed under: Mus pahari (shrew mouse)
Lineage: Eukaryota; Metazoa; Chordata; Mammalia; Rodentia; Muridae
Description: predicted gene, 26850 (MGP_PahariEiJ_G0003459.1)
Source: RNAcentral